Small nucleolar RNA from Suricata suricatta (meerkat), 136 nucleotides. The record is from Ensembl. NCBI's taxonomy places the organism in Eukaryota, Metazoa, Chordata, Mammalia, Carnivora, Herpestidae.
GCACAGUGGUGGACUGAUGACAGCCCUUGUCUGUGGGCCUUUCAUAGUGUGCCAGGGCCAGAGGUGCAUGCAGCCCCAAACCAUUGCCCAACUUCCUCACCAGUGGGCUGUGAACACUGAAGAGGGCUGUACAGUG